GCGGGCGUGGCGAAAUAGGUAGACGCAACGGACUUAAAAUCCGUAGGGCCGCAAGGCCUGUGGGGGUUCAAGUCCCCCCGCCCGCACCA
This 89-nucleotide transfer RNA is filed under the name Hyphomicrobiales bacterium. Its description in RNAcentral is "Rhizobiales bacterium tRNA-Leu". It matches the Rfam family "tRNA". From Rfam's summary of the family: Transfer RNA (tRNA) molecules are approximately 80 nucleotides in length. Their secondary structure includes four short double-helical elements and three loops (D, anti-codon, and T loops). Lineage: Bacteria; Pseudomonadati; Pseudomonadota; Alphaproteobacteria; Hyphomicrobiales. The record is from RNAcentral.